UACUUCCUACGGGGCGCAGCAGUGGGGAAUAUUGCACAAUGGGGGAAACCCUGAUGCAGCGACGCCGCGUGAGCGAUGAAGUAUUUCGGUAUGUAAAGCUCUAUCAGCAGGGAAGAAAAUGACGGUACCUGACUAAGAAGCCCCGGCUAACUACGUGUCAGCAGCCGCGGUAAUACGUAGGGGGCAAGCGUUAUCCGGAUUUACUGGGUGUAAAGGGAGCGUAGACGGUCCUGCAAGCCAGAUGUGAAAGCCCGGGCCUCAACCCAGGGACUGCAUUUGGAACUGUAAGGCUAGAGUGUCGGAGG
Molecule: ribosomal RNA, 305 nt
Filed under: uncultured bacterium
Lineage: Bacteria
Description: bacterial SSU rRNA
Rfam family: Bacterial small subunit ribosomal RNA
Source: RNAcentral